This 504-nucleotide ribosomal RNA is filed under the name uncultured bacterium. RNAcentral's name for it is "bacterial SSU rRNA". It matches the Rfam family "Bacterial small subunit ribosomal RNA", at positions 28 to 524 of the family's 1533-position model. The record is from RNAcentral.
GACGAACGCUGGCGGCGUGGAUUAGGCAUGCAAGUCGAACGGUAUCAUCCUUUCGGGGGUGAGAGAGUGGCGAACUGGUGAGUAACACGUAGGUUAUCUACCCUCAAGACGGGGACAACCCAGGGAAACUUGGGCUAAUACCGGAUGUGAGCAACUUUUAGUUGUUUGAAAGGUGGCGUGAGCUGUCGCUUGGGGAUGAGCCUGCGUCCUAUUAGUUAGUUGGUGAGGUAACGGCUCACCUAGGCAAUGAUAGGUAGGCGGCCUUAACGGGUGGUCGCCCACACUGGGAUUGAGAUACGGCCCAGACUCCUACGGGAGGCAGCAGUCGAGAAUAGUCUACAAUGGUCGGAAGACUGAUAGUGCGACGCCGCGUGAACGAUGAAUCCCUUCGGGGUGUAAAGUUCUUUUAUAUGUGAGCAGUGCUUCUUAUAUUAACAGUAUGGGGAGAGAGAUAUUAGCAUAUGAAUAAGCAACGGCUAACUCCGUGCCAGCAGCCGCGGUAAA